AGUGAACGCUGGCGGUAGGCCUAACACAUGCAAGUCGAACGGCAGCACAGUAAGAGCUUGCUCUUACGGGUGGCGAGUGGCGGACGGGUGAGGAAUACAUCGGAAUCUACUUUUUCGUGGGGGAUAACGUAGGGAAACUUACGCUAAUACCGCAUACGACCUACGGGUGAAAGCAGGGGAUCUUCGGACCUUGCGCGAUUGAAUGAGCCGAUGUCGGAUUAGCUAGUUGGCGGGUUAAAGGCCCACCAAGGCGACGAUCCGUAGCUGGACUGAGAGGAUGAUCAGCCACACUGGAACUGAGACACGGUCCAGACUCCUACGGGAGGCAGCAGUGGGGAAUAUUGGACAAUGGGCGCAAGCCUGAUCCAGCCAUACCGCGUGGGUGAAGAAGGCCUUCGGGUUGUAAAGCCCUUUUGUUGGGAAAGAAAAGCAGCAGGUUAAUACCCCGCUGUUCUGACGGUACCCAAAGAAUAAGCACCGGCUAACUUCGUG
Molecule: ribosomal RNA, 492 nt
Filed under: uncultured bacterium
Lineage: Bacteria
Description: partial 16S ribosomal RNA
Rfam family: Bacterial small subunit ribosomal RNA
Source: RNAcentral